GUCCAGUUAUAGAUUGAACGGAAUUCAACUAGCUUAUGAUUAUGAACACAGUCAAACUGCACUUAGGAGAAACAUAACUAUCCAAAAAAACAACCAAUUAUAGAACAAUAAUAUAUAAAUAAACUCUGCACAUAAUAAUUUUUAAACCACUGACCAUGAAUUUCCCUUAACACAUAAGGCCAUAAAUACACAAAAGUCGCCUCUUUUAGACAAUGAAACAUUGCAGUUCAUCUGAAAUAUUGCAGUUCAUCUCCGAUACACUAUUCAGUCGAAACUACAACAUAAUGAAGGAGGAGAUAAUAGAUAAAUCGCAAUUGCCUAUGAACUAACACUAAUUUUAACUCGAUUCAAAUUGGGCAAAUUAGUAUCGCGAUGAAAAACGUAACAUGCUAAAUAAAUAUUGGAAUCGUGUGUAAAAGAGAAACUAUCUCGUGACGAAGAGGAAAGACAUUACCUGAGCGGCGAGAAGGAGAAGGA
RNAcentral lists this unclassified non-coding RNA (477 nucleotides) under Hevea brasiliensis (rubber tree). Lineage: Eukaryota; Viridiplantae; Streptophyta; Magnoliopsida; Malpighiales; Euphorbiaceae. The record is from RNAcentral.